Malus domestica (apple) is the source of this 1724-nucleotide non-coding RNA. The record is from RefSeq and is a predicted model, not a curated record. Lineage: Eukaryota; Viridiplantae; Streptophyta; Magnoliopsida; Rosales; Rosaceae.
ACAGCCUUGCUGGGUUGUGAACUCCUUCACUCACCUUCCUCGCUCUCUCUCUCUCUCUCUCUCUCUCUCUUUAUGUCUCUGAUUAUUUCCCAUUGUAGUAGAUGAACACUCAUAUCAUAGACUAAGCUUAGCUGUUUGAGUAAUGAUGUAGUGAGAGAGAGAGAAGAGAGAAAGAGAGUGAGAGUGUGUCUUGGUUGGUUGAUUUACUUGUCCAUUGGGGUAAAAUUUUGGGUUUGCUUGUUGGGUUUUAAUUUUUGGGUUGAGAUUUUUGGUUUUGUUUAAUUUUGAUGGGUACUGAGGGAGGAGGAGAAGAAGUAGGAUUGAAAGAGAAGAAAGAUCAUGAGGCGGCAGCAGCAGCAGCAGAGGGAGGAAGUAGGUUGCUGUACACCUGUUGUAUACACCAAUGAACAGAGUCCAAGAAGCAACCAUGUUUACAGCAGGGAAUUCCAGUCCAUGUUGGAAGGGUUAGAUGAGGACGGUUGUGUGGAAGAGGCCGGCCGUGUUUCCGAGAAGAAGAGAAGAUUGAACGUUGAACAAGUGAAGGCCCUGGAGAAAAACUUCGAGGUGGAGAACAAGCUUGAACCUGAAAGAAAGGUGAAGCUUGCCCAAGAACUUGGCCUCCAACCAAGACAAGUUUCCGUGUGGUUCCAGAACCGCCGUGCUCGUUGGAAAACCAAGCAAUUGGAGCGCGAUUACGGCGUUCUCAAAGCCGAUUACGACUCUCUCAAGUGCAGCUACGAUAUCCUUCAACAUGACAACGAAGCCCUUCUCAAAGAGAUAAAGCAAUUGAAAGCAAAAUUCCAAGAGAACACAGAGAGCACCAAUCCCUCAGUAAAACAAGAGAAACUCCUGGGGAAAGAUCAAUCCAGUUACCGGGCGGUUCACGAGGGGAGCCAGUCACCGCCACCCCCUCCGGAAUCCUCCGUUCCAGAAACUGAAUGCAAAGAGUUUAACUUUGAGAGCUUCAACAACACAAGUGGAGUACUAGAAGCCGUUUCAUUGUUCCCAGAUUCAAAGAUGGCUCUUCUGACAGUGACUCAAGCGCGAUCUUGAACGAAGAUAACAGUCCAAACUUGACUAUGUCUUCAUCUGGGAUUCUCCAAAACCACCAGCUCAUCAAGUCUCCGGCUUCCACUUCACUCAAAUUCAACUGUUGUUCAUCGUCCUCGCCGUCGCCAUCGUCGAUGAACUGCUUUCCGUUCCAAAAGAGCUAUCAGCCUUCCGUGAAGGUCGAGGAGCACAACUUAUUUAGCAGUGAGGAGGCUUGUAGCUUCUUCUCCGAUGAGCAAGCACCUUCACUUCAGUGGUACUGUCCUGAUCAAUGGAACUAAACCAUCAACAAUCCAAUCAAUCCACUCCAUCAGUCCCAUCCAAAAAAGAAGAAUUGGAAUCCAAGAAAUAGACCUUCCAUGAUUUUUGUUAAAUGGGAAAGUGGGGUUGUGUAUAAAUUAAUGUACUUUGAUCUCCACUGUGCAAAAGUGAAGUUUGAGAGCAACUGUAGAAUGGAGGUGGGAGAGAGAGAGAGAGAGAGAGAGAGAAGAGAGGUUCACGUGGGUAGAAGGUGAGGACGAGCAAGGUAUUUUCCUUGCCAAACCGUGCGGGAUGAUUGGGUCGUAAUUAAAAUUUCAGCUGUAAAAAUGAGAUGUCGGGAAAAAAAAAACUUUGGGAGGUAGAAUUUCGUGUAAUGGAGAAAAUAAUCAUUGUGCUUCACUUUUUCCCUUCCA